UACGUAUGGUGCAAGCGUUAUCCGGAUUUACUGGGUGUAAAGGGUGCGUAGGUGGUGAGACAAGUCUGAAGUGAAAAUCCGGGGCUUAACCCCGGAACUGCUUUGGAAACUGCCUGACUAGAGUACAGGAGAGGUAAGCGGAAUUCCUAGUGUAGCGGUGAAAUGCGUAGAUAUUAGGAGGAACACCAGUGGCGAAGGCGACUUACUGGACUGCUACUGACACUGAGGCACGAAAGCGUGGGGAGCAAACAGG
This 253-nucleotide ribosomal RNA is filed under the name Coprococcus eutactus. RNAcentral's name for it is "partial 16S ribosomal RNA". It matches the Rfam family "Bacterial small subunit ribosomal RNA", at positions 524 to 776 of the family's 1533-position model. Lineage: Bacteria; Bacillati; Bacillota; Clostridia; Lachnospirales; Lachnospiraceae. The record is from RNAcentral.